AUCCACUAGACCCACGGAGACUGCGGUGGUCGGGCUUUGGCCCUCUGUCCCUUGUAGCCGUGGGGUUACGGGGACCUGCCUCUCCAGCUCUGACUCUGGACGGAUCCUGGAGCAGGAACUCAGGCAGGGGACUCGCCAUCAGCCCUGCUGCCCAGGGAAGGAGGGACUGGCCCUUUAACUCCCAAUCUCAGCCUCAGGGACACUCGGAUGGCCCAGUGGUUCUAUUGCUGGCAGUCCGUCCUGCAGACACUCCAGACACGCGUGGAAAACAUCCAUUGCAGCCUGAUGUGAACUAUCAAAGGACUGGAAACAGCCUAAAUGGUCAUCAGCAGAGAACUGGAUGGACAAGAUGUGAUUCUGCCCACUCACACUGCCAACUACAAUGUACCCACUUCAUGAAGAACGUGCAGGUCCUCGCGUUUAUUUAUUCAACAAAUUCCUUCUGAGUCCUUGUUACAUGAGGCCCGCUAUGCUCGGCGAAGGGGACACAAUAGUGCAUGAACACAAACCCCAUCCUGGCCUUGCAGAGCUUGGUCUGCCUGGGGAGUUUGACUGAGGAAUUGGCAAUGCCGCAGGUGUAGCCCUCCAGAGGGCUAUGGUGGAGACAACUCAGAGAAGUCAGGGCAGUCAAGAGUUCUUGUUGUGGCUCAGUGGUUAACGAAUCUGACUAGGAAGCAUGAGGUUGCGGGUUCGAUCCCUGGCCUUGCUCAGUGGGUCAAGAAUCCAGCAUUGCCGUGAGCUGUGGUGUAGGCUGCAGACAUGGCUUGGAUCCUGCGUUGCUGUGGCUGCGUUGUGUAGGCCGGCGGCUGUAGCUCCAAUUGGAUCCCUAGCCUGGGAACAUCCAUAUGCCGUGGGAAGCGGCCCUGAAAAAGACCAAAAAAAAAAAGUCAGGGAAGGCUUCCUGGAGGAAAUAGCGGUGGAACCACCAUCAAGUGGGAGAGGAAGGAAAGAGCACAUGCAAAUGUCCUAGGGAGAAAGAUGGUGUGGCCGGGUGAUGCAUGGAUGAAGAUUGCUGGGGCUGGAGCCAAGGGGCUGGGGGUGGUGCCAUGUGGAGCCACCCAGACCCCCUUCAGGAGUGAAG
Molecule: long non-coding RNA, 1081 nt
Filed under: Sus scrofa (pig)
Lineage: Eukaryota; Metazoa; Chordata; Mammalia; Artiodactyla; Suidae
Description: lncRNA (ENSSSCG00015055867.1)
Source: RNAcentral